This is a non-coding RNA of Gossypium raimondii (Peruvian cotton), 87 nucleotides long. The record is from Rfam. NCBI's taxonomy places the organism in Eukaryota, Viridiplantae, Streptophyta, Magnoliopsida, Malvales, Malvaceae.
CACGUCAGCGCGCUCUGCUGACGUGGACUCAAAUCGCGCUUACAUGGACGCGAUUUGCUGCCACGUCAGCAAAGUGCGCUGACGUGG